GCCUGACAGGCGCCGCCUGCCCGCUGCUGCCAGCCCCCGAGCCAGGCCCUUCCUCGGGCACGGCCGGGAGGGCUUGGCCGGGCAGAGGCGCAGCCAGGGGUGGAUCUAGGCUUUGGAAAAGGGGGGUGCAGAGGAGCUGCCCAUAACACAGCACAGGCUUGUCUCCACUUCAGCAGAAGCUAGAAGCUUUACUGACUGGGCAGCAGGGUACAGUCCAGUUUGAGAUGGAAGCACAAGCCAAAUGCACAUAAGAGCUGCCAUUUGCUGGGUCAGGCCAUAAAUCCGCCUUGCCCAUUUUCCAUUCUGCAGAGGGGCAGCAUCACAUAAGACUGAAAUCAAGACAAGUCAUGGCAAGCAGGGAUUUAAGGUCCUGGCUAAGGCCAAGUAGGUCUUCCUGUAAGCUGUGCGCACCCUCAACUUUGCAAGGGCAAUUAUACUGAGUGGCUGUCCACAGUGAUGAGCUGAACAAGAUGCUGAGGGGAGUCACCAUUGCUCGAGGUGGGGUCCUGUCCGACAUCCAGGUGAUGCUGCUGCCGAAGAAACCUGAGAGCCACAAAGCCAAGAACAAGCAUUUGAUAAAAAGAUAGAGUUUUCAUCUUUGACAGUUUUCUCUUCUUCACCUGCUGAAUCAUGUUUAGCUCCACCAGAUGUUCAAUGAACUAUAUUAUUAAGUCUUGUCAGCAGUGAUCUUGAUAUCUUUAGAAAACCACUUUUGUUGCUUGCAACAGUUUAAAAGUGGCUAAUUGAAUGUGUCAUUCAACUUUAAAAAUCAAAAUAAAAAAU
This is a long non-coding RNA of Alligator sinensis (Chinese alligator), 783 nucleotides long. RefSeq lists it as uncharacterized. Lineage: Eukaryota; Metazoa; Chordata; Crocodylia; Alligatoridae. The transcript has 3 exons. The record is from RefSeq and is a predicted model, not a curated record.